Molecule: ribosomal RNA, 892 nt
Filed under: Triticum aestivum (bread wheat)
Lineage: Eukaryota; Viridiplantae; Streptophyta; Magnoliopsida; Poales; Poaceae
Description: partial small subunit ribosomal RNA
Source: RNAcentral
CGCGGCUACGGCUUCCCCAUUCCCUACAGUUGCGGCGGUGUCGAUGGGACUGUACAGCCACUGUGCCACUACCACGCCGGGAGGCGCUGACGCCACCGACGAUUGUUGCUGCCGUCAUCCUCGUCGCGCCCGUUAUUCUCACGGCGAUAACUGUAACAACUCUUCAACGAACGAUGCGGAGUGAUGGCCGCAAACAAAUUUAUGUUCUCGUGCGACUACGACACCGCACAGAACAAAAAAUUUCGAAUCCGUUCAACGAAGGUAGUACCUCCGUUUCGGAGGUCCGGCUGGAGUGGUCGAAUUGAUUGAAACAACCCUUUAAUUAAUCACGUUAGUUCAACGCGUACGACUAUAAGAAUUGGUAAGGUGUCGAUAACUGUCUCGAAGCGAGAGCAGCACAUCUACGUCUUGGAAGUUGCGUGGUGGGGUACUGUCCACUGUUGCCUUACUGAGCUGUUGAUUAAAACCAUUAAGCAGCCGAAUAGGUAAACCCGUCGACUACCAGAUAUACAUGUUACGGGUUGGUCGACAUUUGUUUUCUUUGUUAAGCCCGACUUUCAGUUAACUAGCACCAAUUGUUCUAAUCGUUCUCGCCGUUUUCCGAGAGCACCACUGCUGUAGGAACACAAGUUCGUUGAUCGUUGUUGACCCGUUGGGGUGUCGUCUUCCGGUUCCUCUCCUCGUCUGGGGUCUUCCGUCUCUCACUCCUCCACGGUCGUCCGUCGGAGCCGAACCCGGUACACACGCACACAACACAUUAGUCCGACAACCCGGCUGGUUCCGGACGCACGGACACACACCAAUUCAUCCACCAGCUGGGUGACACACUUAGUAGCUUCUUAUGUCUGAACCUAGGUGUUUCUAGUCCGUUCUAGGCUAGAUGGAAAGGGGA